This 447-nucleotide ribosomal RNA is filed under the name uncultured bacterium. Its description in RNAcentral is "bacterial SSU rRNA". It matches the Rfam family "Bacterial small subunit ribosomal RNA", at positions 420 to 882 of the family's 1533-position model. The record is from RNAcentral.
GGGUUGUAAACUAUUGUCGUUAGGGAAGAUACAAGACAGUACCUAAGGAGGAAGCUCCGGCUAACUACGUGCCAGCAGCCGCGGUAAUACGUAGGGAGCAAGCGUUAUCCGGAUUUAUUGGGUGUAAAGGGUGCGUAGACGGGACAACAAGUUAGUUGUGAAAUCCCUCGGCUUAACUGAGGAACUGCAACUAAAACUAUUGUUCUUGAGUGUUGGAGAGGAAAGUGGAAUUCCUAGUGUAGCGGUGAAAUGCGUAGAUAUUAGGAGGAACACCGGUGGCGAAGGCGACUUUCUGGACAAUAACUGACGUUGAGGCACGAAAGUGUGGGGAGCAAACAGGAUUAGAUACCCUGGUAGUCCACACCGUAAACGAUGGAUACUAGGUGUAGGAAAUGAUUUUAUUUUCUGUGCCGUCGCAAACGCAAUAAGUAUCCCACCUGGGGAGUA